CCUACGGGAGGCAGCAGUGAGGAAUAUUGGUCAAUGGACGGAAGUCUGAACCAGCCAAGUAGCGUGCAGGAUGACGGCCCUAUGGGUUGUAAACUGCUUUUAUGCGGGGGUAAAGUGAGUGACGUGUCAUUCAUUGCAAGUACCACAAGAAUAAGGACCGGCUAAUUCCGUGCCAGCAGCCGCGGUAAUACGGAAGGUCCUGGUGUUAUCCGGAUUUAUUGGGUUUAAAGGGAGCGUAGGCCGUCAGGCAAGCGUGUUGUGAAAUGUCGUGGCUCAACCAUGGACUUGCAGCGCGAACUGCCCGACUUGAGUGCGCAGAAAGCAGGCGGAAUUUGUGGUGUAGCGGUGAAAUGCUUAGAUAUCACGAAGAACCCCGAUUGCGAAGGCAGCCUGCUGUAGCGCUACUGACGCUGAAGCUCGAAAGUGCGGGUAUCGAACAGGAUUAGAUACCCUGGUAGUCCGCACGGUAAACGAUGGAUGCCCGCUGUUCGGUCUGCGGACCGAGCGGCUAAGUGAAAACGUUAAGCAUCCCACCUGGGGAGUACGCCGGCAACGGUGAAACUCAAAGGAAUUGACGG
This 578-nucleotide ribosomal RNA is filed under the name uncultured bacterium. RNAcentral's name for it is "bacterial SSU rRNA". It matches the Rfam family "Bacterial small subunit ribosomal RNA", at positions 338 to 916 of the family's 1533-position model. The record is from RNAcentral.